CCCGCCCGGUGGAGCAUGUGGUUUAAUUCGAAGCAACGCGAAGAACCUUACCCAGGUCUGCAUCCUCUGACAAUCCUAGAGAUAGGACGUCCCCCUUCGGGGGCAGAGUGACAGGUGGUGCAAAAAUCAGCUCGUGUCGUGAGAUGUUGGGUUAAGUCCCGCAACGAGCGCAACCCUUGAUCUUAGUUGCCAGCAUUCAGUUGGGCACUCUAAGGUGACUGCCGGUGACAACCGGAGGAAGGUGGGGAUGACGUCAAAUCAUCAUGCCCCUUAUGACCUGGGCUACACACGUGCUACAAUGGACAGAACAAAGGGCAGGAAACCGCGAGGUUAAG
RNAcentral lists this ribosomal RNA (335 nucleotides) under Bacillus sp. (in: firmicutes). RNAcentral's name for it is "bacterial SSU rRNA". It matches the Rfam family "Bacterial small subunit ribosomal RNA", at positions 930 to 1267 of the family's 1533-position model. The record is from RNAcentral. Lineage: Bacteria; Bacillati; Bacillota; Bacilli; Caryophanales; Bacillaceae.